This 680-nucleotide ribosomal RNA is filed under the name Trichuris trichiura (human whipworm). RNAcentral's name for it is "bacterial SSU rRNA". It matches the Rfam family "Eukaryotic small subunit ribosomal RNA", at positions 1026 to 1643 of the family's 1831-position model. Lineage: Eukaryota; Metazoa; Nematoda; Enoplea; Trichinellida; Trichuridae. The record is from RNAcentral.
GUGACCGUAAACGAUGCCAACCAGCGAUUCGGCGAUGUUCUUUUUGUGACUCGCUGAGCAGCUUCCGGGAAACCAAAGUGUUUCGGUUCCGGGGGAAGUAUGGUUGCAAAGCUGAAACUUAAAGGAAUUGACGGAAGGGCACCACCAGGAGUGGAGCAUGCGGCUUAAUUUGACUCAACACGGGAAAACUCACCCGUCCCGAACACUGCGAGGAUUGACAGAUCAAGAGCUCUUUCUUGAUUCAGUGGGUAGUGGUGCAUGGCCGUUCUUAGUUGGUGGAGCGAUUUGUCUGGCUAAUUCCGAUAACGAACGAGACUCUGGCCUACUAACUAGCGGCGGUAUUCACGUCUCCCGCGCGACGCCGCGCUGCGCUGCGGCUGAGCACAGUCGUCGCCGUUUGCGCGAGCGCUCCGCGGAGCACCUGCAGUGCCGGCAGCCGCUUCUUAGAGGGACCAGCGACACUUUCGCAAGCCGCACGAGAAAGAGCAAUAACAGGUCUGUGAUGCCCUUAGAUGUACGGGGCUGCACGCGUGCUACACUGACGGCGACAGCGUGCGUUCAAGCCCGGCCUGGCAAGGCCAGGAAAUCGGUUGAAACGUUCUCGUGACUGGGACAGGUAAUUGCAAUUAUUUCCCUCGAACGAGGAAUUCCCAGUAAGCGCGAGUCAUCAUCUUGCGUUG